AUUGAACGCUGGCGGCAGGCCUAACACAUGCAAGUCGAACGAGUGGCGGACGGGUGAGUAAUGUCUGGGAAACUGCCUGAUGGAGGGGGAUAACUACUGGAAACGGUAGCUAAUACCGCAUACCAUCAGAUGUGCCCAUAUGGGAUUAGCUAGUUGGGGGGGUAACGGCUCACAAAGGCGACGAUCCCUAGCUGGUCUGAGAGGAUGACCAGCCAAACUGGAACUGAGACAGGGUCCAACCGCCUACGGGAGGCAGCAGGGGGGAUUAUUGCAAAAGGGGCGAAAGCCUGAUGCAGCCAUGCCGGGUGUAUGAAGAAGGCCUUCGGGUUGUAAAGUACUUUCAGCGGGGAGGCGUUACCCGCAGAAGAAGCACCGGCUAACUCCGUGCCAGCAGCCGCGGUAAUAC
Molecule: ribosomal RNA, 406 nt
Filed under: uncultured bacterium
Lineage: Bacteria
Description: partial 16S ribosomal RNA
Rfam family: Bacterial small subunit ribosomal RNA
Source: RNAcentral